This 520-nucleotide ribosomal RNA is filed under the name uncultured Glomus. RNAcentral describes it as "SSU rRNA". It matches the Rfam family "Eukaryotic small subunit ribosomal RNA", at positions 569 to 1090 of the family's 1831-position model. Lineage: Eukaryota; Fungi; Glomeromycota; Glomeromycetes; Glomerales; Glomeraceae. The record is from RNAcentral.
AGCAGCCGCGGUAAUUCCAGCUCCAAUAGCGUAUAUUAAAGUUGUUGCAGUUAAAAAGCUCGUAGUUGAAUUUCGGGAUCAUCAGGUCGGUCGUGCCUCCGGUAUGUACUGGUCUCGAUGGUUCCUCCUUCUUGUAGAACCGUAAUGCCAUUAAUUUGGUGUUGCGGGGAAACAGGACUGUUACUUUGAAAAAAUUAGAGUGUUUAAAGCAGGCGAUCGCUUGAAUACAUUAGCAUGGAAUAAUGAAAUAGGACGUUCGAUCCUAUUUUGUUGGUUUCUAGGAUUGACGUAAUGAUUAAUAGGGAUAGUUGGGGGCAUUAGUAUUCAAUUGUCAGAGGUGAAAUUCUUGGAUUUAUUGAAGACUAACUACUGCGAAAGCAUUUGCCAAGGAUGUUUUCAUUAAUCAAGAACGAAAGUUAGGGGAUCGAAGACGAUCAGAUACCGUCGUAGUCUUAACCAUAAACUAUGCCGACUAGGGAUCGGAUGAUGUUAAUUUUUUAAUGACUCAUUCGGCGCCUUA